RNAcentral lists this transfer RNA (137 nucleotides) under candidate division MSBL1 archaeon SCGC-AAA382F02. Its description in RNAcentral is "candidate divison MSBL1 archaeon SCGC-AAA382F02 tRNA". It matches the Rfam family "tRNA". From Rfam's summary of the family: Transfer RNA (tRNA) molecules are approximately 80 nucleotides in length. Their secondary structure includes four short double-helical elements and three loops (D, anti-codon, and T loops). The record is from Rfam by way of RNAcentral. Lineage: Archaea; Methanobacteriati; Methanobacteriota.
GCCGGGGUGGCGCAGUUAGGUAGCGCGCUCGGCUGUUAGAUCCACAGAUAUGGAUGAAGAGCGAACCUCCAUGUUCAAAACUCGACAUGUCUGAUAUGGAAACCGAGCGGUCGGAGGUUCGAGUCCUCCCCCCGGCG